UACGGGGGGGGCAAGCGUUGUUCGGAAUUACUGGGCGUAAAGGGCUCGUAGGCGGCCAACUAAGUCGGACGUGAAAUCCCCUGGCUCAACCAGGGAACUGCGUCUGAUACUGGAUGGCUUGAGUUCGGGAGAGGGAAGUGGAAUUCCAGGUGUAGCGGUGAAAUGCGUAGAUAUCUGGAGGAACACCGGUGGCGAAGGCGGCUUCCUGGACCAACACUGACGCUGAGGAGCGAAAGCCAGGGGAGCAAACGGG
RNAcentral lists this ribosomal RNA (253 nucleotides) under uncultured bacterium. Its description in RNAcentral is "partial 16S ribosomal RNA". It matches the Rfam family "Bacterial small subunit ribosomal RNA", at positions 524 to 776 of the family's 1533-position model. The record is from RNAcentral.